GCUGGGAUGGCCGAGUCGUUAAGGCGAGUGAUUUGAACGAACGUUUACGUAAUCAAUGAUUACGUAAUUUCCGAAUUAUCACUUGGUGUUUCACCGCGUAGGUUCAAAUCCUGCUCCCAGCG
Molecule: non-coding RNA, 122 nt
Organism: Armillaria fumosa
Lineage: Eukaryota; Fungi; Basidiomycota; Agaricomycetes; Agaricales; Physalacriaceae
Source: the annotation of a GenBank genome assembly